RNAcentral lists this long non-coding RNA (1910 nucleotides) under Malus domestica (apple). RNAcentral describes it as "long non-coding RNA (MDOM_LNC020516)". Lineage: Eukaryota; Viridiplantae; Streptophyta; Magnoliopsida; Rosales; Rosaceae. The record is from RNAcentral.
CCGUCCCGAAGUGAGGGCGUGCUGGCCGUCACGUGAGAGUGACGUAACCAUUUACAUAGUUCAGAAGCUUUAAAAAAAAAUUUCCAAUUACUAAGAUGACACACCCGAGGGUGAGUCCUACUUUUGUGAAUUCUGUCAGAACACCGUUGGAUUCCUCGUGGCCACCAAAGCUCUGCUAACUUGAACCUGGAGGGGCGCAAAACAAAAUUGAGUGGGUCAGUAAAAACAAAGUUUUUUGAAAACUUUUCAUUUAAAAUAUUUCUAACCCCUCACCGUAAAACCUGUAUACUUUCCCAGAAAAUAGCAUAUAUAUAAACAUAUAUAUAAGCAAAAAUCUCAAAUCUCAAACCUUUAACACUUUUCAGAAAAAUAUAUAUAUAUAUAUAACCAUAUGAAAUCUCAAAACUUGAAUCCCAAAUCUUUAACAUUUUUCAAGAAAAACAUGCCAUGCCAUAAAUCAAAAUAUAAAUCAGGUGAAAUAAGGAAUCAAUCGGAGACCCUGCAGUUGGUCCUAUACGAUUAAUUCAAUAGCUCAAUAUCUCACUAAGCCGGAGUCACCACAGUGACCUAUACGGCCCUACUCUGCACAUCACUCGGAACUACGUAAGGUAGUCUGUACGAUGAAAGGUGUAAAAAUACGCUCUAGUGCUUCUCUCAUCAUAUCAUCAGCGCGCAUAACUAAGGUCACCCACUAGUCGGAAUCACGCCUAGUGAUCUGUACGACUAGCAUGUCGGAACCCUCACAUGGUCUGUACGACAUCCACCUACUUGGAUCCAAGGCGAGCGUGCGGUGUGGUGAAUAAAAUAAGCACUAACACCUAGGGUGCAGAUUAUGAGCUCAAAUUAUAUCAACAUCAACCAAUUCAAUGCAUAAAUGAACUCACCUGACUUACCUUUGCCUCCACAGCACCAUGCAAUAUGUAUGCAUCAUAUAUCAAUCAUAUAAUUCAUAAACCAAUCCAUGAUUUUCAAAUAAUUCUAUGCAUGGCAUGUUCAAAACAUAUUUUCAUAUAAAACAUUUUCUGGGAAAAACAGUAGUAUAUAGGUAAUACGAAAACAAAACUGCCCACUCACCUGGAGUUCGCUCAACAACUCCCUAGCACCACACAUCAAGGCGUCAUGAAGAUUAGCGCCUAGAACAAUAAUCAAACCCAACCUCAGAAAUCCUGCCGAUAGAAUACAUAACUUAUAUAAGACACGUCACUACGUAGUUCGAUCCGGAUGAUCUGCAAUUCAGAUUUCAAAUCCGAAACUUCCAGAGGUCCACAAUAUACCUCUAGGACAACAUCCUAAAAUUUCGUUACCAUCCAACGGUCGGAUCUCCGUCAAUUUCCAAAACUAAGUGACGGUUAACAUUCUAUUUUUAUGAACUUACAAUUCUAAUUCCGGAAUAUCCGUAAAUCGGAUUCCCAAUCCGUAAGUUCCUAUAAUCCUCAAAUAUUACGUAUUUACAAUGUAUCAAAGUUUGAUGACGAUCCAACGGUCGGAUCGUCAAUUCACAUUUUCACCUAACCCCGAAUCGUAACCAACUUAGGUUCAAUUAUUCAAUUUACGUCCAUCAAUUAUCAAAACAGAACCUAGAACCUUAAUCACAAGCUAAUAAUGACAUUGGCGGCCAUUGGCCACACGUCGCCGCGCGGGCCGCCGCGGGUGGCGGUUGGCCGCCCCCGGCUCGCCGGAAAAUUCAACUAUUUCCAAAAAUUACCAAAAUUAUUUGCAGAUUUGAAGAUCUCAAUGAGUAGAACAACUUUCAUACCUGAGACCAAGGCCAAUUUGGCCUGGAAGUGCUUCAAUUUCACCAAAACCGUGAAGAACCCUAGAAUUUGGGUGUUUCCAAUUCGACCUUCAAACUUGUUCCAACGCCUCAAUUACCUCUUGGGCUUUGUUCUAGGUCCUAAAGGAAUGCUAAA